GUCUAUGGCCAUGCCACCCUGAACAAGCCCCAUGUCUGAUCUCAGAAACUAAGCAGGGUCGGGCCUGGUUAGUACUUGGAUGGGAGACUACCUAUGAAGACCAGGUGCUAUAGGCA
This 116-nucleotide ribosomal RNA is filed under the name Pteropus alecto (black flying fox). The record is from RNAcentral. Lineage: Eukaryota; Metazoa; Chordata; Mammalia; Chiroptera; Pteropodidae. RNAcentral also lists the same sequence under 1 other name.